CCCUUAGAUGUUCUGGGCCGCACGCGCGCUACACUGACAGAGCCAGCGAGUUUUUUUCCUUGGCCGGAAGGUCUGGGUAAUCUUGUGAAACUCUGUCGUGCUGGGGAUAGAGCAUUGCAAUUAUUGCUCUUCAACGAGGAAUACCUAGUAAGCGUGAGUCAUCAGCUCGCGUUGAUUACGUCCCUGCCCUUUGUACACACCGCCCGUCGCUACUACCGAUUGAAUGGCUUAGUGAGGUCUUGGGAUUGGCUUCGGGGAGCCGGCAACGGCACCCUGUUGCUGAGAACUUGAUCAAACUUGGUCAUUUAGAGGAAGUAAAANUCGUAACA
Molecule: ribosomal RNA, 329 nt
Filed under: uncultured eukaryote
Lineage: Eukaryota
Description: partial 18S ribosomal RNA
Rfam family: Eukaryotic small subunit ribosomal RNA
Source: RNAcentral